Long non-coding RNA from Gorilla gorilla gorilla (western lowland gorilla), 505 nucleotides. RefSeq lists it as uncharacterized. Lineage: Eukaryota; Metazoa; Chordata; Mammalia; Primates; Hominidae. The record is from RefSeq and is a predicted model, not a curated record. The transcript is spliced from 4 exons.
AUAAAGCUGUUGGAAGAUGACCUUUUGAUAAAUGGCAACACUUCUUGUAUACCUCGGUCCUCCAGAGCACAAACCUGUGGCAGAUACAUACCGGUCCAGCCUUAACCUUACCAGUUAAAAGUUUGAGGAAUUUAUGAUGAGGCCAGGCAUGGUGGUCAUACCUGUAAUCCCAACAUUUUGAGAGGCCAGAGUUGGAGAAUCACUUGAGACCAGGAGUUCAAGACCAGCCUGGGCAACAUGGCAUCAGGUAUGUGAAAAAGAAGAGAUCAAGGCUUUGAAAACAUUAAGUAUUUUUUUACCAAGCUGGGAAUUCCAGAGCUGGGAAGCCAAUUUUUUAUGUUGCAAGGAGGCUGGAGUGCAAUGGCACGAUCUUGGCUCACUGCAACCUCCACCUCCCGGGUUCCAGCAAUUCUCCUGCCUCAGCCUCCUGAGCCCUCCCCUGCCAAAUCCUUCCCAGCUUCUGGUAAUCAUCAGUUUAUUCUCUGUCUUCAUAAGAUCCACUUUU